Molecule: unclassified non-coding RNA, 253 nt
Filed under: uncultured Rhodobacterales bacterium
Lineage: Bacteria; Pseudomonadati; Pseudomonadota; Alphaproteobacteria; Rhodobacterales
Description: contains 16S-23S intergenic spacer region
Rfam family: Bacterial small subunit ribosomal RNA
Source: RNAcentral
UACGAAGGGGGCUAGCGUUGUUCGGAAUUACUGGGCGUAAAGCGCGCGUAGGCGGAUUAGUAAGUCGGAGUUGAAAUCGCAGGGCUCAACCUUGGAACUGCCUUUGAUACUGCUAGUCUGGAGUUCGAGAGAGGUGAGUGGAAUUCCGAGUGUAGAGGUGAAAUUCGUAGAUAUUCGGAGGAACACCAGUGGCGAAGGCGGCUCACUGGCUCGAUACUGACGCUGAGGUGCGAAAGCGUGGGGAGCAAACAGG